RNAcentral lists this ribosomal RNA (253 nucleotides) under uncultured bacterium. Its description in RNAcentral is "partial 16S ribosomal RNA". It matches the Rfam family "Bacterial small subunit ribosomal RNA", at positions 524 to 776 of the family's 1533-position model. The record is from RNAcentral.
UACGUAGGGGGCAAGCGUUGUCCGGAAUCAUUGGGCGUAAAGAGCGUGUAGGCGGCCCGAUAAGUCCGCCGUGAAAGUCCAGGGCUCAACCCUGGAAUGCCGGUGGAAACUGUCGGGCUGGAGUCCGGAAGAGGCGAGUGGAAUUCCUGGUGUAGCGGUGAAAUGCGUAGAUAUCGGGAGGAACACCAGUGGCGAAGGCGACUUCCUGGCCUGUUCUUGACGCUGAGGCGCGAAAGCUAGGGGAGCAAACGGG